RNAcentral lists this ribosomal RNA (2925 nucleotides) under Escherichia coli. RNAcentral describes it as "23S ribosomal RNA". It matches the Rfam family "Bacterial large subunit ribosomal RNA". The record is from RNAcentral. Lineage: Bacteria; Pseudomonadati; Pseudomonadota; Gammaproteobacteria; Enterobacterales; Enterobacteriaceae.
GGGUUGUGAGGUUAAGCGACUAAGCGUACACGGUGGAUGCCCUGGCAGUCAGAGGCGAUGAAGGACGUGCUAAUCUGCGAUAAGCGUCGGUAAGGUGAUAUGAACCGUUAUAACCGGCGAUUUCCGAAUGGGGAAACCCAGUGUGUUUCGACACACUAUCAUUAACUGAAUCCAUAGGUUAAUGAGGCGAACCGGGGGAACUGAAACAUCUAAGUACCCCGAGGAAAAGAAAUCAACCGAGAUUCCCCCAGUAGCGGCGAGCGAACGGGGAGCAGCCCAGAGCCUGAAUCAGUAUGUGUGUUAGUGGAAGCGUCUGGAAAGGCGCGCGAUACAGGGUGACAGCCCCGUACACAAAAAUGCACAUGCUGUGAGCUCGAUGAGUAGGGCGGGACACGUGGUAUCCUGUCUGAAUAUGGGGGGACCAUCCUCCAAGGCUAAAUACUCCUGACUGACCGAUAGUGAACCAGUACCGUGAGGGAAAGGCGAAAAGAACCCCGGCGAGGGGAGUGAAAAAGAACCUGAAACCGUGUACGUACAAGCAGUGGGAGCACGCUUCGGCGUGUGACUGCGUACCUUUUGUAUAAUGGGUCAGCGACUUAUAUUCUGUAGCAAGGUUAACCGAAUAGGGGAGCCGAAGGGAAACCGAGUCUUAACUGGGCGUUAAGUUGCAGGGUAUAGACCCGAAACCCGGUGAUCUAGCCAUGGGCAGGUUGAAGGUUGGGUAACACUAACUGGAGGACCGAACCGACUAAUGUUGAAAAAUUAGCGGAUGACUUGUGGCUGGGGGUGAAAGGCCAAUCAAACCGGGAGAUAGCUGGUUCUCCCCGAAAGCUAUUUAGGUAGCGCCUCGUGAAUUCAUCUCCGGGGGUAGAGCACUGUUUCGGCAAGGGGGUCAUCCCGACUUACCAACCCGAUGCAAACUGCGAAUACCGGAGAAUGUUAUCACGGGAGACACACGGCGGGUGCUAACGUCCGUCGUGAAGAGGGAAACAACCCAGACCGCCAGCUAAGGUCCCAAAGUCAUGGUUAAGUGGGAAACGAUGUGGGAAGGCCCAGACAGCCAGGAUGUUGGCUUAGAAGCAGCCAUCAUUUAAAGAAAGCGUAAUAGCUCACUGGUCGAGUCGGCCUGCGCGGAAGAUGUAACGGGGCUAAACCAUGCACCGAAGCUGCGGCAGCGACGCUUAUGCGUUGUUGGGUAGGGGAGCGUUCUGUAAGCCUGUGAAGGUGUGCUGUGAGGCAUGCUGGAGGUAUCAGAAGUGCGAAUGCUGACAUAAGUAACGAUAAAGCGGGUGAAAAGCCCGCUCGCCGGAAGACCAAGGGUUCCUGUCCAACGUUAAUCGGGGCAGGGUGAGUCGACCCCUAAGGCGAGGCCGAAAGGCGUAGUCGAUGGGAAACAGGUUAAUAUUCCUGUACUUGGUGUUACUGCGAAGGGGGGACGGAGAAGGCUAUGUUGGCCGGGCGACGGUUGUCCCGGUUUAAGCGUGUAGGCUGGUUUUCCAGGCAAAUCCGGAAAAUCAAGGCUGAGGCGUGAUGACGAGGCACUACGGUGCUGAAGCAACAAAUGCCCUGCUUCCAGGAAAAGCCUCUAAGCAUCAGGUAACAUCAAAUCGUACCCCAAACCGACACAGGUGGUCAGGUAGAGAAUACCAAGGCGCUUGAGAGAACUCGGGUGAAGGAACUAGGCAAAAUGGUGCCGUAACUUCGGGAGAAGGCACGCUGAUAUGUAGGUGAAGUCCCUCGCGGAUGGAGCUGAAAUCAGUCGAAGAUACCAGCUGGCUGCAACUGUUUAUUAAAAACACAGCACUGUGCAAACACGAAAGUGGACGUAUACGGUGUGACGCCUGCCCGGUGCCGGAAGGUUAAUUGAUGGGGUCAGCGCAAGCGAAGCUCUUGAUCGAAGCCCCGGUAAACGGCGGCCGUAACUAUAACGGUCCUAAGGUAGCGAAAUUCCUUGUCGGGUAAGUUCCGACCUGCACGAAUGGCGUAAUGAUGGCCAGGCUGUCUCCACCCGAGACUCAGUGAAAUUGAACUCGCUGUGAAGAUGCAGUGUACCCGCGGCAAGACGGAAAGACCCCGUGAACCUUUACUAUAGCUUGACACUGAACAUUGAGCCUUGAUGUGUAGGAUAGGUGGGAGGCUUUGAAGUGUGGACGCCAGUCUGCAUGGAGCCGACCUUGAAAUACCACCCUUUAAUGUUUGAUGUUCUAACGUGGACCCGUGAUCCGGGUUGCGGACAGUGUCUGGUGGGUAGUUUGACUGGGGCGGUCUCCUCCUAAAGAGUAACGGAGGAGCACGAAGGUUGGCUAAUCCUGGUCGGACAUCAGGAGGUUAGUGCAAUGGCAUAAGCCAGCUUGACUGCGAGCGUGACGGCGCGAGCAGGUGCGAAAGCAGGUCAUAGUGAUCCGGUGGUUCUGAAUGGAAGGGCCAUCGCUCAACGGAUAAAAGGUACUCCGGGGAUAACAGGCUGAUACCGCCCAAGAGUUCAUAUCGACGGCGGUGUUUGGCACCUCGAUGUCGGCUCAUCACAUCCUGGGGCUGAAGUAGGUCCCAAGGGUAUGGCUGUUCGCCAUUUAAAGUGGUACGCGAGCUGGGUUUAGAACGUCGUGAGACAGUUCGGUCCCUAUCUGCCGUGGGCGCUGGAGAACUGAGGGGGGCUGCUCCUAGUACGAGAGGACCGGAGUGGACGCAUCACUGGUGUUCGGGUUGUCAUGCCAAUGGCACUGCCCGGUAGCUAAAUGCGGAAGAGAUAAGUGCUGAAAGCAUCUAAGCACGAAACUUGCCCCGAGAUGAGUUCUCCCUGACUCCUUGAGAGUCCUGAAGGAACGUUGAAGACGACGACGUUGAUAGGCCGGGUGUGUAAGCGCAGCGAUGCGUUGAGCUAACCGGUACUAAUGAACCGUGAGGCUUAACCUUACAACGCCGAAG